UGCGUGUACCUUCCGGCCAACCACAAUAAACUAACUCAUUAACGUAAAAGCUGACUGCCUGUGCUGCGUGAGCAGCACAGGCAAUAUAUCAGCAUUCAGACUAUCGAAAACCCAAAAGUUCAAGGGCCAUCUAGGGGGCUAGGUUGAAGGGCGGAGCAUGCAGUGGAGCACAUUAUUAAUUAUUUUAAUUAAAGUAAAGAUGGAGCAAUGUCAGAGGGAGAUAAGGAUGCUAGUUGAGGCUGGUUUCACUCAUCGAGAUGUCAGCAACUUUUUGAGAUCCGUUUUGCCUUUACAAACUCGAGGUAUUUCUGUGAGAAGUGUCAGACGUUUUUGUGCAUUUAGAGGCAUUAGGUAUCGAAAUAACCUCAGUGAUGCUGACCUCCUGGACGUUAUUUAUGCCUGUGUUGUCGCAGUGGGGCACUCAUAUGGUCGUCGCACCUUACAGGGGUUGCUCAGGUCUGAGGGUAUAUUUGCCAGCCAGAGGAGAAUAGGAAGUGCUCUUCGACGUUUGUUUCCCGUUGCUCACUACCAGAGAGCUCUGACUUCAAUGAGACAUCUGAACCCUAUACCAUACAGAGCUUCUUUUUUUGGAGAAAAGCUCCAUUUCGACCAAAACGAAAAACUAAACAUGUACGGUGUGGUACAUGUUUUAGCAAUAGACGGGUACAGCCGUAAGAUUGUUGGAUUUGUUACAAUUCAAAAGAAGAACCCAAUAAUGAUAUAUGACCUUUUGUUUCGUCCUAUUAUGCUCGAAUAUGGCGUUUGGGACCAGUUGAGAAUGGACCAGGGAACAGAGUUUAUUUUAGUUAUUUCUGUCCAGUACACUGUAGCAAAUUUUCGUAGUGGUCACCACCGUCAAGCAGUUAUUCAAUCUACAUCAAGACUAAAUCACCGUGCAGAAAGAAUCUGGCCAGAGAUCAAUGCCAGGAUUAAUUAUCCUAUAAAGAGAGUCCUUACUGAAUUGGAAGAUAGUGGCGUCAUUAAUUUAAGUGAUGAUACAGUGAAGUUUUGUACUUCGUGGAUUACCAUUAAGGUUGUAUCUGAACCAAUUCAAAUGUUUGUGAACUCAUGGAAUGCACACACUAUUCCUGGAAGCAGAGGUGGUAUUCCAAAUUACUUAGCUCAAUACUCGUGUCGACUUGGUCAGAUUGCACCAGCGCAUAUCCCAACAUUGGAAUCUGCUGUGUAUCAAUAUGAAUAUUCUAGCGGUAGUCUUUCUCGUAAUUUCAUUUAUGGGCAGGAUCCAUUAGCUGAUUUUCCUAAUUUGCAAGCUCUUCGCGAAAGAGAUUUUUCUAUGUCCUUUCCAUCAAUGAGUGACAUUUUUCAAGAUGUUUUACACGGAUCGGGCAGUUUGCUUAGAGAUGCUAUUCUUUUUUUCAUUGAACUAAACCAUCGUUUCAUGAGUCUCAUUCAAUAGUGUCGACAGUUGCUGUUUUCAACACAUUUUACACAGGUCGGGCAGUUUGCUUAGAGUUUCAGGAAUUAUGUUCUAUUGUUCUUUUGCUUCUCUCCUCCUCCUCUCUCUCCCUCUCUUUCUCUAUCUCUCUCGUUUUUGGAUAAUUGAUGUAUAAUCAUGAUUUUUGCAUAACUUAAUACAUUAUAAUGAUAGAAUCACAGAAAUCAUAAUCAUUAUUCAUUAUUACAUUAUUAUUACAGUACUGUGACCCCACCCUCUUAAUUAUGACCACGUUGCAACUUGUGGGUGCCAUCUUAUGUUGUGAAUGCUCUCUCUAAGGCUGCUCUGCUGCUAAACUUCCAUACUCAUACAGUCAUGGCUACGAAUUCUCUAGGUUCCGUGAAGCUGAGUCGGCAAGGGAGGAAGGUGGGAGUUUACUUGAGCGAUCUUGAGGUAGAGAAGAUUGCUGCUCUUUUUAACCUACAAGCAAGAACUAUCUAUAUUAUGAAAGAGAAUGACGAGACUGCGAUAUUUCCAGGUGUUUCUGGAAGGUUCCCACAGCUAAAUAUUGGUGCCACAUACGAAGUCAUGGGCGAGCCAGUCCAGGACCAAGCCAGUGCGGCUUCCCCACCUGUUUCUCAUCAUAGUACUCCCUACGGUGCAUACCCCACGUAUCCUCAGCCAGGGCCAUCGGCGAGAAAGUCGUUUAGUCUCCCCCAUCCCCCUACAUUUCCGGCUGCUGUCCGUCAAAAAGUGCCAGGCAGUGGCGGCUAUCACAAGACUAUCAUUUUCAUUAGCUUAUCAUCCGGCUCUGUAAUUGACUCUAAAGCUAAAUCAGUGCCUAGUUAUAAUGUUGUGACUCAUACGCAAGUAUUGAUUGACAGUAGUUCAUGCAAGCCCUCAUCUGUGUGUCAAAUUCUUUCGAACACAACUGGCUACGAAGUCAUAUUACUAGACAGCAAGUGCUAUCCACUUCUAGACAACCCAGCUACAAGCUGCAUGGAUUUUUGGAAAUCGACACGUAAAAUAUUAGCGACAUCCAAAUCCCAAUAUGAAAAGUUAACGGGAAAGAAGUUCACGGGGACAGCUAUUGAUUUGAUGAACGCGGAGGGUAAUAGUGAUGAUCUUGUGUCUACUUCCAAUGCUUCAGUAGAGUUAAUGGAGAAAGUUGAUAGAGCAGUUAGCUUUAUAGAGAAAUUUGAGCAGGGGAUUGCAACUGUCAUUAAAUUGUUUGAGUGUCCCAUUUGCAAAUCUAUUUUACGAGACCCCAUUGUUUCUUCAUGCUGUCAGAGACUCGUUGGAUGUAAAACUUGUGUAAGCGAUUGGUUUAGCUACGGUGGGACCACUUGCCCUUACUGUUCAUCUCUUACAUCAGCAGAAUCUACACGAUUCGAAUUGAAAGGAAUGCAGGAGUUUUCGGGUUUAUUGGCUCUUUUUGAGAAAAAAGAUCAAGAUAAUACAGACAGGACCUCUGUCGUCUCUGACCCUGAACUUCCUCCCCCUAUAAUAUGAAUUAGUAAUUAGUACUAACAUUCUCGUGUAUGAAUUAGUACUAUAGCAUUCUCACUAUUAUCUUAACCUUCAAUCAUGGAUAAUGUCAGAAAUACUUUUGUUUCUGCUUGUUUUUUUUUGUGAAAAAUGAAAGAUUAUAAAUAUGA
RNAcentral lists this unclassified non-coding RNA (3054 nucleotides) under Amphimedon queenslandica. Its description in RNAcentral is "uncharacterized LOC109588007, transcript variant X2". The record is from RNAcentral. Lineage: Eukaryota; Metazoa; Porifera; Demospongiae; Haplosclerida; Niphatidae.